GCGUCGGUGGUUCAGUGGUAAAAUACUUGCCUGCCACGCGGGUGACCCGGGUUCGAUUCCCGGCUGACGCA
This 71-nucleotide transfer RNA is filed under the name Rhipicephalus microplus (southern cattle tick). Its description in RNAcentral is "tRNA-Gly". It matches the Rfam family "tRNA". Rfam says of the family: Transfer RNA (tRNA) molecules are approximately 80 nucleotides in length. Their secondary structure includes four short double-helical elements and three loops (D, anti-codon, and T loops). Further hydrogen bonds mediate the characteristic L-shaped molecular structure. tRNAs have two regions of fundamental functional importance: the anti-codon, which is responsible for specific mRNA codon recognition, and the 3' end, to which the tRNAs corresponding amino acid is attached (by aminoacyl-tRNA synthetases). tRNAs cope with the degeneracy of the genetic code in two manners: having more than one tRNA (with a specific anti-codon) for a particular amino acid; and 'wobble' base-pairing, i.e. permitting non-standard base-pairing at the 3rd anti-codon position. Lineage: Eukaryota; Metazoa; Arthropoda; Arachnida; Ixodida; Ixodidae. The record is from Rfam by way of RNAcentral.